Molecule: ribosomal RNA, 253 nt
Filed under: uncultured bacterium
Lineage: Bacteria
Description: partial 16S ribosomal RNA
Rfam family: Bacterial small subunit ribosomal RNA
Source: RNAcentral
GACGAACCGAGCGAACGUUAUUCGGAAUCACUGGGCUUAAAGGGUGCGUAGGCGGGCAAGUAAGUCAGGGGUGAAAUCCCACGGCCCAACCGUGGAAGUGCCUCUGAUACUGCGAGUCUAGAGGGAAAUAGGGGCGUGCGGAACUUCCGGUGGAGCGGUGAAAUGCGUAGAUAUCGGGAGGAACACCGGUGGCGAAAGCGGCGCGCUGGAUUUCUACUGACGCUGAGGCACGAAAGCCAGGGGAGCAAACGGG